AGCAGCCGCGGUAAUUCCAGCUCCAAUAGCGUAUAUUAAAGUUGUUGCAGUUAAAAAGCUCGUAGUUGAAUUUCGGGAUCAAUAUAUCGGUCGUGCCUUUGGUACGUACUGGUAUCAUUGAUUUCUCCUUUCUGACGAAUCAUGAUGUCAUUAAUUUGGUGUUAUGGGGAGUUAGGACUGUUACUUUGAAAAAAUUAGAGUGUUUAAAGCAGGCAUUAGCUUGAAUACAUUAGCAUGGAAUAAUGAAAUAGGACGUUUGACCCUAUUUUGUUGGUUUUUAGGAUCGACGUAAUGAUUAAUAGGGAUAGUUGGGGGCAUUAGUAUUCAAUUGUCAGAGGUGAAAUUCUUGGAUUUAUUGAAGACUAACUACUGACGAAAGCAUUUGCCAAGGAUUGUUUUCAUUAAUCAAGAACGAAAGUUAGGGAUCGAAGACGAUCAGAUACCGUCGUAGUCUUAACCAUAAACUAUGACCGACUAGGGGAUCGGAUGAUUAGUUAAUUUUANAAUGACCCUAUUCGGCGUCCGUUAACGGGAAACCUAAA
Molecule: ribosomal RNA, 542 nt
Filed under: uncultured Glomus
Lineage: Eukaryota; Fungi; Glomeromycota; Glomeromycetes; Glomerales; Glomeraceae
Description: SSU rRNA
Rfam family: Eukaryotic small subunit ribosomal RNA
Source: RNAcentral